This 344-nucleotide ribosomal RNA is filed under the name uncultured bacterium. Its description in RNAcentral is "partial 16S ribosomal RNA". It matches the Rfam family "Bacterial small subunit ribosomal RNA", at positions 338 to 699 of the family's 1533-position model. The record is from RNAcentral.
CCUACGGGAGGCAGCAGUAGGGAAUAUUGCUCAAUGGGGGAAACCCUGAACCAGCAACGCCGCGUGGAGGAUGAAGGUUUUAGGAGUGGAAACUCCUUUUGUUAGAGAAGAUAAUGACGGUAUCUAACGAAUAAGCACCGGCUAACUCCGUGCCAGCAGCCGCGGUAAUACGGAGGGUGCAAGCGUUACUCGGAAGCACUGGGCGUAAAGAGCGCGUAGGCGGGUUAGCAAGUCAGAGGUGAAAUCCUAUGGCUUAACCAGAGAACUGCAUUUGAAACUGUUAUUCUAGAGUAUGGGAGAGGUAGGCGGAAUGCGUGGUGUAGGGGUAAAAUCCGUAGAGAUCA